Molecule: ribosomal RNA, 433 nt
Filed under: uncultured bacterium
Lineage: Bacteria
Description: partial 16S ribosomal RNA
Rfam family: Bacterial small subunit ribosomal RNA
Source: RNAcentral
AACGAACGCUGUCGGCAUGCCUAACACAUGCAAGUCUAACGAGACCUUCGAGUCUAUUGGCUCACCUGUGCGUAACGCCUGGGAACCUGCCUGUAAGUUCUGAAUAACUCAGAGAAAUUUAAGCUAAUACCGAGUGAUCGCUUCGGGCCAAAGAGUUAUCGCCCUGAGAUGGGCCCGGGUUGGAUUAGCUGGUUGGUGGGGUAAAGGCCUACCAAGGCGAAGAUCCAUAGCUGGUCUGAGAGGAUGAUCAGCCACACUGGGACUGAGACACGGCCCAGAAUCCUACGGGAGGCAGUCGUGGGGAAUAUUGGCCAAUGGGAGACAGCUUGAUCCAGCAAUGCCGCGUGCGUGCUGACGGCCUUAGGGUUGUAAAGCUCUUUUACACGAGCUGAUAAUGACCGUACCGGGAGAAUAAGCUCCGGCUACCUCCGUG